Non-coding RNA from Tetranychus urticae (two-spotted spider mite), 2685 nucleotides. NCBI's taxonomy places the organism in Eukaryota, Metazoa, Arthropoda, Arachnida, Trombidiformes, Tetranychidae. The record is from RefSeq and is a predicted model, not a curated record.
GAAUUCCUGGAAUCCUCAGAUACCUGAAGAUUCAAUCGAAUUAACUACUAAAAAUUCAAAAAAGGCAACAAUCAUUUGAUCUGUGGGAUCUAAAGUUCAAAGCCUUUCGAUUUGGGCUUUACAUAUUGUCAACAUAUUUCAUGGUUAAAGUCAUAAUCAUCUUCUUUACGGCACAUUUAAAGAUCAAUUCAGCAAUGAUUUACAUGUGUCAAAUGGAUUUAAAGGAGCAUAAAUUUCAUUCAAUAUCUUUCUAUUCAAAAUGCAUGAAACUUCCGGAGGAAUCACAAAAGCGAUCAAAAAUUUCUUUGCUUAUAAAAGCAUAAAAUGAAAACAAACAGAGCAAGUGGGAUAAAAAUACAGUUGACACAUGAAAAAUGGAAAAAGAUUCUGAAGACUCUGAUGAAGUAAAGAGUGUGGAAAGCCUGUAAAUUGAUUGUUAAGAAUCACAAUAAAGACGGUUCCAGAAUCCUUUCUAUUUAUGGUAAAUGACCAUUAACACCUUUACAUGGACAAAAGAUCAAAUAACAACAUCUAAAUGGUGCAAAAACGGUCAUUGAUUCGGUUGUAAUAUGGUGUUAUAAACUAAAUCUCAUUAACAAUGUAAUACGCUUUGGAGGCAAGUAUUUGGACUCAUUUUUAAUCAACAACAAUUUUCCCAGGAAAACACAGAAAGGUUAAGACAAGAGAUAAAAAUCUUUACCAUGGGAAGAACAUGAUGAAAAUUUGAGUCUCUCCUGUAGCAAGUUUCUCCAUUGGAUUGAUCAAUUGAGCUUUAACUGUGAUUGGAUUCUAAUUAGUAUAUUGGACAACAAGAUCCCAAAGACUGACAAUUUAAAUAUUCAAUUGAAAGGUUAACAUUUAAAGUUACAAUCAACUUUAUCCAGAGAAUCAUUGACAGUUUAUAACAAAUCAAUAAUUCAAUAUUGAAAAGGACUGGACUUUGUUAAAAAAUAAGGUUGAUUAAUCAAAUGAAUCAACGUUUGUUACCUCAAACGACUGUUUAACCAAAUCUUAUUCACAUUGCACAUGAUAUUCAUUGGAUUAGAUUGUUAUAAUACUAUCACUCUCUUCAUUAACUAUUUAGAUUAAGCUGUAAAUUAGCUUAAAAUUAAAUUAAUCUAUCAACUUGUAGCAAGCUCAUCAUCAAAUUACCAAGUUGUAAAUGAACUUAAUGGUUUGCACUUGUUAAAUUGAGACUAACAAGGGCAUGUUAAUUGUGAAACCAAUUAUGUAAUCUAAUAUAGUUUCACAAUUUACCAGCAAUUUGUUAUAAUUUGUCUAAUUUACUUUUGAAAUCAUCAAUGGACGAAACAACCUUUACUAUCAAAUUACUUGACCAAAAGCUGGUUACCAACAAUGUUUGAUGAAUGUAAAUUUCAAUCUUAAUCUUGACCACAUUCAAUUGUAAUUUUUAAUUAGAUUUUCAAAGAAAUGAAACAAGCUUAACUUGUAAACAUUACUGUAACAUAGUAAAUAUUAGAGAGCAAAAUUGCUUUCUAAAUCCUAUGGAUUAGUAGAUGUUAACGGUUGAACCACUUUGUUGAUGUGAUUAAUCCUUCAAUUAGAAUUGGGAUAAUCAUUUAAAAAGUCAAUUCUGUUUGGAACAAAAUUAAUCUCAAGAUAAUCCAUAAACAAUUAAGGUUGAGUAAAGGUAAAGGUAAAGGCUUGCCAAUGUUGAAUUGUUGUUGGAGAGAAGAGUUAAUUUGAUUGUAACGCAAGGAAAUCAAUUGUAAACAUCUUUAUUUUUCUCAUUAAUUUUAACUUGACAAAGACUUAAUAUUUGAAACAACAAAAGGUCAACAAUUGAUCAAGGAAGGUUUUCGUUUUAAUCGAGUUUAACUAACAGAGCAAACUCGAUUGAUUGUAAAUACAUAGAGAUAGAAAUAUUUCCCAUUGAUUAAUCUUUCACUAACAUUAAUACACUGAGUUUGCUGUGUAAACUUAAUCAAGCAAACUAAAAAUAAACCUCAUUGAACACCAUAAUUAAGUUCAAUUGUGUUCCUAUUAAUACAAAGUUACACAUAAUAGCUCAAUCCUAUUAGCAAUCAUUAUCCUAAAUGAUUCAAUAUUGAACCAUCAAAUUACAAAUCAUCUUUGAUAGUAAACCAUUGAAUGAUAAAUAGUGUAAUAAUUGCAGUCGAUAGUCAAAAAAUGUAAAUUAUCAAAAGAAGAGCUUUCAAAGUUGAAAAGUCUUUCAACAGAUCUUUGCCUAGUAAAAGGCCUUUUGAAAUUAGCGCUUUAAAAAAAGUCUGAAAUCAAUGCACACCUUGGUAUUGUCAACAUAUCAAUGGCAGAGUUUUUUUGAAUCGACGAAUAGAAAUCAUUAAAAACGGUGAACCGAAAUAUUGCGAGUAUAACAAUGGUAUAACAUGUACUUUAACGUCUAUGAAUGUCGCGCCCUACAUGGACCCAAUCUGUUCAUUCCAACUCAAUUUACGAAAUCCAUACCAUCAGCCGAUUCCUCCGCACUAUUCACGAACUCAUGGCUAAUUGUUUUAUACAAUCUGAUUCACUCAAUUUUACUUGUAAUAAAGAUUAAUAAUGAAAAUGAGAAGCUCAUUUUUGAAGUCAGUCACAACCGAUUACCAUUUUCUGGUUAAAAAUUGUUUUUUCGAUCUGAAAAUAUCAUUCUUACAGAAAAUCAAUGCUAACUAUCGUAAUAUCGCCAUCUCUAAACUACUUAGA